Long non-coding RNA from Gadus morhua (Atlantic cod), 707 nucleotides. RefSeq lists it as uncharacterized. NCBI's taxonomy places the organism in Eukaryota, Metazoa, Chordata, Actinopteri, Gadiformes, Gadidae. The transcript is spliced from 2 exons. The record is from RefSeq and is a predicted model, not a curated record.
UGCUGUCGGACGCACCGUUCCCGGAGGCUCCUGCGCUGCCAACAUCCCUCCCUCCGCCAGACCGGCCUCAGGUCCAGUACCGGCUCAUCUAUCACGAGGCUGGAAAGAGACGUGGUGAGAAGCGGAGAUUAUUUGUUGAUGAGCCACAGCCUGUGACUCCCGCGAACCGACCCGUUCAGCCCACUGGGUUGUCGUCCUCCACCCGGCCGAAGCCUGCUGCGCUCACCCCCAUUCUGCCGAGGCCUUCUGCGCCUACCCACCUCCAGCCGAGGCCACCCGCUGCGUUGACCUACGGCCCACCCCCUGUGUCGGCAGCACCCAUACUGCAGGUCUUCCCCGCACAGCCACAGGCGCCCUCCGUCCUGUUUCGUGGGACAUCCUGCAGCCAGAGCUUUGUCCCUCCUGCACCAACAGUCAAGGCAUUCAUGCCUAACAAGUCCUCAAGGCCAUGUGGGGCUUGCCACAUGCCAAACUGUGGUGGACAGUGGAAGAGGUACAACCCUUUCAAGGACAAAGUGGCUGGAAGCAUUCAGAAAAUGUUUUCCUACUGUCCAUCCACUAGGAAGUCCACUACCCCUGGCUUCGACAAUGUGGUGUAUGACAACUUUGAACUCUUUAAGAGUGUCGUGGAUGCAGAGUUGGAAAGGAGGACUGUGUGUGUGUGUGUGUGUGUGUGUGUGUGUGUGUGUGUGUGUGUGUGUGUGUGU